UACGUAGGGUGCGAGCGUUGUCCGGAUUUAUUGGGCGUAAAGGGCUCGUAGGCGGCCUGUCGCGUCGGGAGUGAAAGCCCACUGCUUAACGGUGGGUCUGCUUUCGGUACGGGCGGGCUAGAGUAUGGCAGGGGAGACUGGAAUUCCUGGUGUAGCGGUGGAAUGCGCAGAUAUCAGGAGGAACACCGGUGGCGAAGUCGGGUCUCUGGGACAUUACUGACGCUGAGGAGCGAAAGCGUGGGGAGCGAACAGG
RNAcentral lists this ribosomal RNA (253 nucleotides) under uncultured bacterium. Its description in RNAcentral is "partial 16S ribosomal RNA". It matches the Rfam family "Bacterial small subunit ribosomal RNA", at positions 524 to 776 of the family's 1533-position model. The record is from RNAcentral.